GGCAGAAUAGCUCAGUUGGAUAAGAGCAUCUCACAUGUAACAAGAAGGUCCUGGGUUUGAGUCCCGGUUCAGCCA
Non-coding RNA from Mycena olivaceomarginata, 75 nucleotides. NCBI's taxonomy places the organism in Eukaryota, Fungi, Basidiomycota, Agaricomycetes, Agaricales, Mycenaceae. The record is from the annotation of a GenBank genome assembly.